UACGGAGGGAGCUAGCGUUGUUCGGAAUUACUGGGCGUAAAAGCGCGCGUAGGCGGCUUUGUAAGUUAGAGGUGAAAAGCCCGGGGCUCAACCCCGGAAUUGCCUUUAAGACUGCAUCGCUUGAAUCCGGGAGAGGUGAGUGGAAUUCCGAGUGUGAGGAAGGUGAAAAUUCGUAGAUAUUCGGAAGAACACCAGUGGCGAAGGCGGCUCACUGGACCGGCAUUGACGCUGAGGUGCGAAAGCGUGGGGAGCAAACAGG
RNAcentral lists this ribosomal RNA (259 nucleotides) under uncultured bacterium. Its description in RNAcentral is "partial 16S ribosomal RNA". It matches the Rfam family "Bacterial small subunit ribosomal RNA", at positions 524 to 776 of the family's 1533-position model. The record is from RNAcentral.